RNAcentral lists this ribosomal RNA (208 nucleotides) under uncultured bacterium. RNAcentral describes it as "partial 16S ribosomal RNA". It matches the Rfam family "Bacterial small subunit ribosomal RNA", at positions 568 to 774 of the family's 1533-position model. The record is from RNAcentral.
AGCGCAGGCGGUUUUUUAAGUCUGAUGUGAAAGCCCUUGGCUCAACCAAGGAAGUGCAUCGGAAACUGGAGAACUUGAGUGCAGAAGAGGACAGUGGAACUCCAUGUGUAGCGGUGAAAUGCGUAGAUAUAUGGAAGAACACCAGUGGCGAAGGCGGCUGUCUGGUCUGUAACUGACGCUGAGGACUCGAAAGCAUGGGUAGCGAACA